RNAcentral lists this ribosomal RNA (407 nucleotides) under uncultured Nocardioides sp. RNAcentral describes it as "bacterial SSU rRNA". It matches the Rfam family "Bacterial small subunit ribosomal RNA", at positions 353 to 772 of the family's 1533-position model. Lineage: Bacteria; Bacillati; Actinomycetota; Actinomycetes; Propionibacteriales; Nocardioidaceae. The record is from RNAcentral.
AGUGGGGAAUAUUGGACAAUGGGCGGAAGCCUGAUCCAGCAACGCCGCGUGAGGGAUGACGGCCUUCGGGUUGUAAACCUCUUUCAGCAGGGACGAAGCGCAAGUGACGGUACCUGCAGAAGAAGCACCGGCCAACUACGUGCCAGCAGCCGCGGUAAUACGUAGGGUGCGAGCGUUGUCCGGAAUUAUUGGGCGUAAAGGGCUCGUAGGCGGUUUGUCGCGUCGGGAGUGAAAACCAGGUGCUUAACACCUGGCUUGCUUUCGAUACGGGCAGACUAGAGGUAUUCAGGGGAGAACGGAAUUCCUGGUGUAGCGGUGAAAUGCGCAGAUAUCAGGAGGAACACCGGUGGCGAAGGCGGUUCUCUGGGAAUAUCCUGACGCUGAGGAGCGAAAGUGUGGGGAGCGAA